Molecule: ribosomal RNA, 112 nt
Filed under: Sinocyclocheilus anshuiensis
Lineage: Eukaryota; Metazoa; Chordata; Actinopteri; Cypriniformes; Cyprinidae
Source: RNAcentral
AACCGAGGUCCUGACUCUCUGUGGUACUGGUUGCCCACUGAAGCUAAGCAGGGUUGAGCCUGGACAGUACCUGGAUGGGAGACCUCCUGGGAAAACUAGGUUGCUGCUGGAA